Molecule: ribosomal RNA, 101 nt
Filed under: Pseudomonas aeruginosa
Lineage: Bacteria; Pseudomonadati; Pseudomonadota; Gammaproteobacteria; Pseudomonadales; Pseudomonadaceae
Description: partial 16S ribosomal RNA
Rfam family: Bacterial small subunit ribosomal RNA
Source: RNAcentral
CUAACCGCAAGGGGGACGGUUACCACGGAGUGAUUCAUGACUGGGGUGAAGUCGUAACAAGGUAGCCGUAGGGGAACCUGCGGCUGGAUCACCUCCUUAAU